This 2906-nucleotide ribosomal RNA is filed under the name Klebsiella sp. CTHL.F3a. Its description in RNAcentral is "23S ribosomal RNA". It matches the Rfam family "Bacterial large subunit ribosomal RNA". Lineage: Bacteria; Pseudomonadati; Pseudomonadota; Gammaproteobacteria; Enterobacterales; Enterobacteriaceae. The record is from RNAcentral.
GGUUAAGCGACUAAGCGUACACGGUGGAUGCCCUGGCAGUCAGAGGCGAUGAAGGACGUGCUAAUCUGCGAAAAGCGUCGGUAAGGUGAUAUGAACCGUUACAGCCGGCGAUGUCCGAAUGGGGAAACCCAGUGCAAUUCGUUGCACUAUCGUUUGAUGAAUACAUAGUCAAACGAGGCGAACCGGGGGAACUGAAACAUCUAAGUACCCCGAGGAAAAGAAAUCAACCGAGAUUCCCCCAGUAGCGGCGAGCGAACGGGGAGCAGCCCGGAGUCUGAAUCAGCUUGUGUGUUAGUGGAAGCGUCUGGAAAGUCGCAGGGUACAGGGUGAUACUCCCGUACACUAAAACACACAGGCUGUGAACUCGAAGAGUAGGGCGGGACACGUGGUAUCCUGUCUGAAUAUGGGGGGACCAUCCUCCAAGGCUAAAUACUCCUGACUGACCGAUAGUGAACCAGUACCGUGAGGGAAAGGCGAAAAGAACCCCGGCGAGGGGAGUGAAAAAGAACCUGAAACCGUGUACGUACAAGCAGUAGGAGCCCACUUGUUGGGUGACUGCGUACCUUUUGUAUAAUGGGUCAGCGACUUAUAUUCUGUAGCAAGGUUAACCGUAUAGGGGAGCCGCAGGGAAACCGAGUCUUAACUGGGCGUUAAGUUGCAGGGUAUAGACCCGAAACCCGGUGAUCUAGCCAUGGGCAGGUUGAAGGUUGGGUAACACUAACUGGAGGACCGAACCGACUAAUGUUGAAAAAUUAGCGGAUGACUUGUGGCUGGGGGUGAAAGGCCAAUCAAACCGGGAGAUAGCUGGUUCUCCCCGAAAGCUAUUUAGGUAGCGCCUCGUGAAUUCAUCUUCGGGGGUAGAGCACUGUUUCGGCUAGGGGGUCAUCCCGACUUACCAACCCGAUGCAAACUACGAAUACCGAAGAAUGUUAUCACGGGAGACACACGGCGGGUGCUAACGUCCGUCGUGAAGAGGGAAACAACCCAGACCGCCAGCUAAGGUCCCAAAGUCAUGGUUAAGUGGGAAACGAUGUGGGAAGGCCCAGACAGCCAGGAUGUUGGCUUAGAAGCAGCCAUCAUUUAAAGAAAGCGUAAUAGCUCACUGGUCGAGUCGGCCUGCGCGGAAGAUGUAACGGGGCUAAACCAUGCACCGAAGCUGCGGCAGCGACACUAUGUGUUGUUGGGUAGGGGAGCGUUCUGUAAGCCGUUGAAGGUGGCCUGUGAAGGUUGCUGGAGGUAUCAGAAGUGCGAAUGCUGACAUAAGUAACGAUAAUGCGGGUGAAAAACCCGCACGCCGGAAGACCAAGGGUUCCUGUCCAACGUUAAUCGGGGCAGGGUGAGUCGACCCCUAAGGCGAGGCCGAAAGGCGUAGUCGAUGGGAAACAGGUUAAUAUUCCUGUACUUGGUGUUACUGCGAAGGGGGGACGGAGAAGGCUAUGUUGGCCGGGCGACGGUUGUCCCGGUUUAAGCGUGUAGGUGUGUGUUCCAGGUAAAUCCGGUUCACUUUAACACUGAGGCGUGAUGACGAGGCACUACGGUGCUGAAGUGACAAAUGCCCUGCUUCCAGGAAAAGCCUCUAAGCAUCAGGUAACAUCAAAUCGUACCCCAAACCGACACAGGUGGUCAGGUAGAGAAUACCAAGGCGCUUGAGAGAACUCGGGUGAAGGAACUAGGCAAAAUGGUGCCGUAACUUCGGGAGAAGGCACGCUGAUAUGUAGGUGAAGUGGUUUACCCAUGGAGCUGAAAUCAGUCGAAGAUACCAGCUGGCUGCAACUGUUUAUUAAAAACACAGCACUGUGCAAACACGAAAGUGGACGUAUACGGUGUGACGCCUGCCCGGUGCCGGAAGGUUAAUUGAUGGGGUUAUCCGUAAGGAGAAGCUCUUGAUCGAAGCCCCGGUAAACGGCGGCCGUAACUAUAACGGUCCUAAGGUAGCGAAAUUCCUUGUCGGGUAAGUUCCGACCUGCACGAAUGGCGUAAUGAUGGCCAGGCUGUCUCCACCCGAGACUCAGUGAAAUUGAACUCGCUGUGAAGAUGCAGUGUACCCGCGGCAAGACGGAAAGACCCCGUGAACCUUUACUAUAGCUUGACACUGAACACUGGUCCUUGAUGUGUAGGAUAGGUGGGAGGCUUUGAAGCGUGGACGCCAGUCUGCGUGGAGCCAUCCUUGAAAUACCACCCUUUAAUGGCUGGUGUUCUAACGUGGGCCCCUAAUCGGGGUUGCGGACAGUGUCUGGUGGGUAGUUUGACUGGGGCGGUCUCCUCCUAAAGAGUAACGGAGGAGCACGAAGGUCAGCUAAUCCUGGUCGGACAUCAGGAGGUUAGUGCAAUGGCAUAAGCUGGCUUGACUGCGAGCGUGACGGCGCGAGCAGGUGCGAAAGCAGGUCAUAGUGAUCCGGUGGUUCUGAAUGGAAGGGCCAUCGCUCAACGGAUAAAAGGUACUCCGGGGAUAACAGGCUGAUACCGCCCAAGAGUUCAUAUCGACGGCGGUGUUUGGCACCUCGAUGUCGGCUCAUCACAUCCUGGGGCUGAAGUAGGUCCCAAGGGUAUGGCUGUUCGCCAUUUAAAGUGGUACGCGAGCUGGGUUUAGAACGUCGUGAGACAGUUCGGUCCCUAUCUGCCGUGGGCGCUGGAGAAUUGAGGGGGGCUGCUCCUAGUACGAGAGGACCGGAGUGGACGCAUCACUGGUGUUCGGGUUGUCAUGCCAAUGGCAUUGCCCGGUAGCUAAAUGCGGAAGAGAUAAGUGCUGAAAGCAUCUAAGUACGAAACUUGCCCCGAGAUGAGUUCUCCCUGACCCUUUAAGGGUCCUGAAGGAACGUUGAAGACGACGACGUUGAUAGGCCGGGUGUGUAAGCGCAGCGAUGCGUUGAGCUAACCGGUACUAAUGAACCGUGAGGCUUAACCUU